CAGUCGCCGCGGGAAUACGUAGGUGGCAAGCGUUGUCCGGAAUUAUUGGGCGUAAAGGGCUCGCAGGCGGUUUCUUAAGUCUGAUGUGAAAGCCCCCGGCUCAACCGGGGAGGGUCAUUGGAAACUGGGAAACUUGAGUGCAGAAGAGGAGAGUGGAAUUCCACGUGUAGCGGUGAAAUGCGUAGAGAUGUGGAGGAACACCAGUGGCGAAGGCGACUCUCUGGUCUGUAACUGACGCUGAGGCUCGAGAGCGUGGGUAGCGAACAGGAUUAGAUACCCGGGUAGUCCCUGUCUCUUAUAC
Molecule: ribosomal RNA, 301 nt
Filed under: uncultured bacterium
Lineage: Bacteria
Description: partial 16S ribosomal RNA
Rfam family: Bacterial small subunit ribosomal RNA
Source: RNAcentral